RNAcentral lists this unclassified non-coding RNA (632 nucleotides) under Hevea brasiliensis (rubber tree). Lineage: Eukaryota; Viridiplantae; Streptophyta; Magnoliopsida; Malpighiales; Euphorbiaceae. The record is from RNAcentral.
CGGAAAGUGGGUGAAGAAAUAGAAGUUCAUGGGCGGACAUCUCAAUGAAGAUAGUACACUAAUAUAACUCACCUCUCUACUAAGCUCACACAUUUUCCAUUUGCUAUAAAUUCCUCCUUCCCAUUUCUCUCUCUCAUAUCUCUCCGAUUUCUUCUUUGUUUGCCUCGGUUUCUCCGAUCAGAGCUCAUGGAGUCCGCCGCCGUUCUCCGCUCCUUCCACCAUUCAGUUGGUACCACUUCCCAUGUGAGGUCAGUAAUUGAAAUGCCUGGCGUUAUUCCAACAAAUAAUAUUGCCUUCUCCAAGCCUACUAAGUUUUCCCUGAAGGGCUCCUCAAAUGGUGCAAGGCGCAUUUCUUCUCCUAACAAGCAUGGUAGAUUGAUACUGUCAUGUGCAAAGACAUCUGAAACAACUGUGACAGCGAAAUCUGGUGAUGGCAAUCACAAAGUUCCAACAGAGAGUAGUCCACUGCCAACAGCAACAUUUCCUAAGGGUUUUGAGGCUCUGAUCACGGAGGUGUGUGAUGAUACAGAGGUAGCUGAGCUGAAACUUAAGGUUGGAGAUUUCGAACUGCACUUGAAACGGAACAUUGAAGCUCCAGUAGUGCCUGCGCCUGUUGUUUCCGCACCACCACC